Molecule: ribosomal RNA, 1382 nt
Filed under: uncultured Bordetella sp.
Lineage: Bacteria; Pseudomonadati; Pseudomonadota; Betaproteobacteria; Burkholderiales; Alcaligenaceae
Description: partial 16S-23S ribosomal RNA intergenic spacer
Rfam family: Bacterial small subunit ribosomal RNA
Source: RNAcentral
CAGCACGGACUUAUCUGGUGGCGAGUGGCGAACGGGUGAGUAAUGUAUCGGAACGUGCCUAGUAGCGGGGAUAACUACGCGAAAGCGUAGCUAACAUCGCAUACGCCCUUCGGGGGAAAGCGGGGGACCUUCGGGCCUCGCACUAUUAGAGCGGCCGAUAUCAUCAUAUAGUUGGUGGGUAACGGCUCACCAAGGCGACGAUCCGUAGCUGGUUUGAGAGGACGACCAGCCACACUGACGAGACACGGCCCAGACUCCCACGGGAGGCAGCAGUGGGGAAUUUUGGACAAUGGGGAAACCCCUGACUCCAGCCAUCCCGCGUGUGCGAUGAUGGCCUUCAUUGUAAAGCACUUUUGGUGAGAAAGAAACGCACGGGAUAGUCACCCCGUGCAACUGACGGUACCUAAGAAUACACCGGCUAACUACGCCAGCAGCCGGUAAUACGUAGGUGCAAGCGUUAAUCAAAUUACUGGCGUAAAGCGUGCGCAGGCGGUUCGGAAAGAAAGAUGUGAAAUCCUGUGAGCUUAACUUUUGAACCGUAUUUUUAACUACCGAGCUAGAGUGUGUCAGAGGGAGGUGGCACCCGCGUGGUAGCAGUGAAAUGCGUAGAUAUGCGGAGGAACACCGAUGGCGAAGGCAGCCUCCGGGAUAACACUGACGCUCAUGCACGAAAGCGUGGGGAGCAAACAGGAUUAGAUACUCCGGUAGUCCACGCCCUAAACGAUGUCAACUAGCCGUUGGGGCCUUCGCCUUGGUAGCGCAGCUAACGCGUGAAGCUGACCGCCUGUGGGAGUACGGUCGCAAGAUUAAAACUCAAAGGAAUUGACGUGACUCCGCACAAGCGGAUGAUGUGGAUUAAUUCGAUGCAACGCGAAAAACUACCACUCCUUGACAUGUCUGGAAUCCUGAAGAGAUUUGGGAGUGCUCGCAAGAGAACCGGAACACAGGUGCUGCAUGGCUGUCGUCAGUCGUGUCGAGAUGUUGGGUUAAGUCCCGCAACGAGCGCAACCUUGUCAUUAGUUGCUACGAAAGGGCACUCCACGAGAUCGCCGGUGACAAACCGAGGAAGGUGGGGAUGACGUCAAGUCCUCAUGGCCCUGCGGUAGGGCUUGCCACGUCAUACAAUGGUCGGGACAGAGGGCUUUAUCCGGGCGAGGGGGAGCCAAUCCCAGAAACCCGAUCGGUCCGGAUCGUGUCUGCAACUUCGACUGGCGCAGUCGGAAUCGCUAGCAGUCGCGGAUCAGCAUGUCGCGGUGAAUACGUUCCGGGUCUUGUACACACUGCCCGUCACACCAUGGGAGUGGCUUACCAGAAGUAGUUAGCCUAACCGUAAGGAGGGCGAUUACCACGGUAGGAUUCGCGACCGGGGUGUCGAACAAGGU